AACGAACGCUGGCGGCAUGCCUAACACAUGCAAGUCGAACGAAGCCUUCGGGCUUAGUGGCGCACGGGUGCGUAACGCGUGGGAAUUUGCCCUUGGGUUUGGAAUAACAGUUAGAAAUGACUGCUAAUACCGGAUGAUGUUUUUGGACCAAAGAUUUAUUGCCCAAGGAUGAGCCCGCGUAGGAUUAGCUAGUUGGUGGGGUAAUGGCCUACCAAGGCGACGAUCCUUAGCUGGUUUGAGAGGAUGAUCAGCCACACUGGGACUGAGACACGGCCCAGACUCCUACGGGAGGCAGCAGUGGGGAAUAUUGGACAAUGGGCGAAAGCCUGAUCCAGCAAUGCCGCGUGAGUGAAGAAGGCCUUCGGGUUGUAAAGCUUUUUUGUCAGGGAAGAAACACCGGCUUUAACACAGUCCGGGAAUGACGGUACCUGAAGAAUAAGCACCGGCUAACUACGUG
This 457-nucleotide ribosomal RNA is filed under the name uncultured bacterium. Its description in RNAcentral is "bacterial SSU rRNA". It matches the Rfam family "Bacterial small subunit ribosomal RNA", at positions 29 to 507 of the family's 1533-position model. The record is from RNAcentral.